Molecule: long non-coding RNA, 287 nt
Filed under: Homo sapiens (human)
Lineage: Eukaryota; Metazoa; Chordata; Mammalia; Primates; Hominidae
Description: non-protein coding lnc-EPB41L4A-1:1
Source: RNAcentral
CUGUUCUGUUCAGAAUUCUGCCCCAAGAUGAAAUCCACAAACCCUGGCAUCUCUAUUGGAGACAUGGCAAAAAUGCUGGGUGAGAUGUGGAAUAACAAGUGACAGUGAAGACCAACCUUACAUCUCUAAGGUGGAAAAGCUGAAGGAGAAGUGGGAGAACGAUGUUUCUGACUGCAGGUCUAAAGGAAAGUUUGAUGGUGCAGAGGGUCCUGCUAAAGUUGCCCAGAAAGAGGUGGAAGAGGAAGGCAAAGACAAUGAGGAGGAAGAAGAGAAGGAAGCUGAAUAAA